UCCGGUUUGUCACCGGCAGUCUGGCGUGAGUCCCCAACUAAAUGAUGGCAACACGCCACAGGGGUUGCGCUCGUUGCGGGACUUAACCCAACAUCCCACGACACGAGCUGACGACAGCCAUGCAGCACCUGUGCACGAGCUCCGAAGAGGGGCCGCUGUUUCCAGCAGCUUUCCCGUGCAUGUCAAGCCUAGGUAAGGUUCUGCGCGUUGCGUCGAAUUAAACCACAUGCUCCACCGCUUGUGCGGGCCCCCGUCAAUUCCUUUGAGUUUCAGUCUUGCGACCGUACUCCCCAGGCGGAGUGCUUAAUGCGUUAGCUGCAGCACUAAGGGGCGGAAACCCCCUAACACUUAGCACUCAUCGUUUACAGCGUGGACUAC
This 378-nucleotide unclassified non-coding RNA is filed under the name uncultured bacterium. RNAcentral's name for it is "contains 16S-23S intergenic spacer region". The record is from RNAcentral.